GGAAGUGCUCCGGUUUGGCUUGGAAGGUGGCAGCAGGUAAGUGGGUGUUCGUGUCUGUGUGUGUGUGUGUGGCGUGUAGUUGUUGAGAGUGCACCCUCCUACAGCGGGGAGAAAAGAGUCCGGGUACCAAAGUAAAACGGUUGGUUGGAGUGCAGAACCGCGGCACACAGGUGCGGGCCUGCAGGGAAACAAUUAAACAGUUUAACGGAGCUUGGCUCCCCGGGGAACGAGUGCGCUCCGUGCGCACUCCCGAAACUGGCACACUCAGGCCGCGAGGACAGACGCGCGCCAUUCGGGGAGUGACGGGGCGUUUAAUGGCGCUCCGUCAUAAAAUGAUUUGAGUAAUCCGACCCAGUUCUUUCCGUUAAACCCUAUAAUGAACACAAAAUGUUGAUGUUUCCAGACUAAGGAUAAGGAUUUGUUUGUUUGUUUUUAGCAUGGUUUUACUGACAAAAGCUGUUAGCCAAGAAUUGUGUUCAUUAUUUGAGGAAAACCAAACUGUGACCUGUAAACAACUGUGUAAUAACAGGGUUUUAGCAGAUCUAUCAAAAUUUAGCUUUAAAUGUUCACUUUCUUAAUGAAAAUAAACCUACGAUACAACACACUGUUGCUCAUCAGUCUUGUAACAGUGAAAUAUUUCUCUGAAAGUAAAAGUUUAAACAACAUUGAACAAUCAAAGUCUUAAACACAAACACCAUCAUUGUCAGUUUUUUGAAUACUUGAGUAAUUUCAUUGGAAAGCUGUUAAAGUCAUGUCUGCUCAGUCUACUCAAGAUGAGACGACCCUGUUUUCAGGAAAAGAUCAGAGUAAGUGAGAAAAUUCAUGGUACUGUAGGUUUUUCAAAUCAACAAGUCUUGUCUGCAUUGCUGUCUUGUACUGUAACACAAAGACAUCUGAUAAACUGAUGUAAUAUUGCAUGUUAACCUUUUAAAGUAUUGAUUUUUAUAAUCCCUUUAUUAUAAGAAAUGAUUUAAGAUUGCAGCAGGCGGUCAGUAAAUGUUGCCUUUUUUUAUUUAGAGUCAACAAUCAAAGGGCGGAUCUUAGUAGAAGGAAAAAUAGGGAGGAUACUGAUGUUGGCUUACCCAGAAAGAGGACUAGGGGUAGAGACGAUGCGGCCAACUCUGAUUCAACAACAACCUAGAGAGAGUCAGUGAGAGGAAUGCAGCAUCUCUACCAUCUCAACUGAACUCUGUCAUCAGAGAGUUUCAGGAUGCCUGCCUCUAAAAGAAAGGCUAGUGAAGAUGGUGAUGUUGAUGCCCCUGUAAAAAAGAUAAGGUGCAGCCACAGUACCAGUGAGUCCAGCACCAGCAAGUCCAGUGCUGAAGCAUCCUCAAUCACACUGAAGGGUGAUAAUGUCGGAUCUGACUCUGGCAAGGACUUUGGCACUGUCUCAGCUGAGGAGGAGAGGCUUUAUGAGCUGUCCUCUCCAGGAAACACCAGCAGAGGUAAGCUGAGAUAAACUGUGACUAUUACAUAAUGAACCAAUGAACUGUUUAAGGAGCAGUAUUAUUGUUGCAUAAUCCAAACUCAAGGACUAACGCCUUUAUGCUUUUUUUUUUUUAGCUGAUUUUGAGGAGAAGUAUUUGGAGUUUGGUCCCUUUGGCACUGGAGGCUUUGGUUCUGUGUUUAGUGGCCUCCGUCUGUCGGAUAAUUUAUCAGUAAAUCUGACAAACACAGGCUAAAAUUACAUUUAUCUAGUCUCUAACCCUCAGAAAUUACAAACUAAAUCACUUGUCUUUUUGUGGUGCAGGUUGCCAUCAAACCCAUUCCAGUGAAGGAUGUGCAGUUUGAACAUGUGGUGAGUGAUUUGAUCAGCUGUUUAGUAAAAACAAAACAAACAAAAAACCUCCCAAUUAUGUGACUUUUAUCUCCACUCAGUCAGAGACAUGAUGCUCAUUUUACAACUGCCUAAAAGUGGACUGUUUCUUUAACUUGCACUUUUCACAUGCAUCUGAACUGAUUGCAAGUCAUCAUAUGUGUUGUGUUUUGUUUAUCUUAUGACUAGAUAUGCAACUGGAAAGUGUUCGAUAUUAUCCUUGAGGUGGCCUUGAGGCUAAGGAGCACAGGUCUGCCAGGAGAGGUCGAUGGAUGAACUUUUACUUGUCAUGGAGAAUCCCUACCUCUGCAAGGACCUUGGAAAGUGUUUCCAAGCCAAGAGAGGAGCUCUUGAUGAACGUGAGUUAAAGGUACGACAACACCUGAAAGUCUAACUGUCUAAGACGGUUAGCUGAUAUCUUCAAUCAAACCACAGCUACUUGGAAGGUGGUGCUGUUAGCUAGCUGGAAAUAAAGGACAGAAUCAAAUGUCAUAAAUGAGGCGCUAAUAAGACAGUCUGGCUAUCUGAGCAUGGUUGAAAUAGCUUUUUAAGUUGGCUAGCUUGCUAAUGCCAGUUGCCAGGAUAGCUGGCAUGUUAAGUAUUACUCAAUGUAAUAGUUGUCUUUAAAACAUCAUCUCUGGGAAAAUUUUAGAUUGAAUUAGUUUGUAUUAUAAACACAUAAGAACAUACUCUGAGCAUUCUCUGAACUCUGUGUCCCUUAAAAAUCUGAUGGUGCGUUUUGAGGGUUUAUCAACAUACAAACUGGCUGUUGUUUAAAUUUGUCCCAUUAAGGGAAUUCAGGUUUUGUAGGUAUUAAAUUGGAACCAUUUUUUUUCUGCAAAAUGUUUAAAACAAAUCUGCUUAACAUAAAAAUCUGUGUUUAGAGGUCCAAAUCUUUGACUUUUCUUAUUUCUGCUGGUGGACACGGCCAUUGACAUACACUCAAAGGGUGUCUUUCACCAGGAGAUUAAACUGCAAAAUGUCCUGGUGCAGUUUGACUCCAGAGAACCAAGAGUAAGAAUCAUUGAUUUCGGCUGUAGCAGCUUCUCUGAGGAGAAAUCGUAUUUUUCCUGCAGUGGUGUGAUAUCCAACCUCUGCUUUUUUUUCUCUUGAGUCAAUAUCUGAAACAUAUUUAAAGAUGAAUGACCCUACAGCUGCCCAAAAAAGAGAUGCCAAAACAUUUGGAGUUUCAUUCAUACAUAUGGGUCAUACUGUGAAAUCAAAAGAGUGGUUUGACUACAAGGCAUACUGGGCCUGUCUUGCCAACCAUGGUAUUCAUUACAUCCAUUAUUUCCUCUGAAUCUUGUUGAUGCACUUUUAGUAUAUCUGCUGAUUCAUUACAUCCAUUAUUUCCUCUGAAUCUUGUUGAUGCACUUUUUAUAUCUGCUGAGACAAAGUGGAGCCCGUUUCAUUGAUAUUACACUUCACACCAGUCGAGUACAUCAGCAGUAAUUUGAAAGCUGAGCACCUUUGGUUCCUGAUGGGGAUCUCUCUGUUAAAUGUCUCUUUCUGAGGUUUCUACCUGAUUUGGGGACUUUUACCUCUUCUUUUCAGAGAGCUUUAGACUGGUUUAAGAACCAGAAAGCACAACUGUGUCUGCUUUUAGACACCAGAAAUAAAUGUUCUGUCCUUUGACUUGCUGCUUUCAGUUUGAGAGGUUUUUUCAGAGCAAUAGGUACUGUGUCUGUUUGACACGCUGAAAUCUUUUACUGCAUUGACUCCAGUAAAACAUUGUCAAAAAUAAAAGAUGACCUAACUGAUAAAAAGAGGAAUGUGAUAGUAUUUGUAUAGUGGUUCUUUGUGAGGAAAUCUGUACAAAUGACUUCUUGCUACCAAGAUUUUAACAUCUUUACCAAAAAGAUGUUAAAAUCUAGAUUAUUAUUGACAUAUCAGAGUCAAGUUUGGUCUCAUAAUACAGAUAAUCCUGAUCAAAAAUGACUCCAACAGAAGAGACAGUCAGUGCGUUUACAUGCAGAGUUUAAUCGGAUUAAGCUCAUGUUCGUUUUUUCGCUGAGAAAAUUGCCGUGAAUGUGUCCUCCUCCCCAAAACAAGGAGGUGAUAUGGAUCCUUUCAGCGGCUCUGUUUCCGGUUGACCCAACAACAACAGCAGCAGGUCCGUGCCAGACGUCACAAGUGUCUACAACUGCUGCUGGGCAUUUUUGAGCAAAAAGAUGGAGCAUCGUACAGCGUUGUUUUGUCGUACAUGAUGCAUACACUACUUUUUCUGCAGAUGAGGUGCAUGCUACUCCUUUUCUCUGGUGUUUUUGUUGUGGGGUCAUCGCACGCGCACAUGCAUUGUUCUAUCAUACUCCAACUACGCUGGUUACAUGGUAGAGAAAAUCAAAUCCCAAUCACAUUGUUUGGGUGUCUUAAUCGGAGUUCUCCGACUCAGAUAAUAGUCGAACUAAGGUGUUUACAUGCACUUCAGUUGUCCGGUCUUAAUCGAAGUAAGGCAAUAAUUCGGUUUUCUCGAGUGUCAUGUAAACGUGCUGAGUGGCUCUGUCAAAUCACUUUUAAAAGUACUAAACUAGUAAAAAACAGUUUAGAAAAUAAAAUCCCAGAUUGUGUUUUCACGAGUUCAGCCAAAAAUAAAGUACAUGGGUGUACACAUCUUUUGCUGUGUGAUGUUUAUUUAGGAAACAUUAUUCAUACUCUUUAAUAUCACAGGCUACCAAUCCUUAUAUUUUUCCACUUCCAAAAAAAUACAUUUAACAUUUAUGACAACCAGCUAUGAAAUAGAAGCAGCAACUUAGACAACUUGGUACUCAUCUGAAAUUCGCUACAAACAUUGGCGAUGGUCAUGACAAAGUUUGUUUAAAACAUUACAAAUCAUUCUUCAGUUUUUGCCAAUCCUUUUGUAAAAUCUUGGCUGCCACAGUUGAGUAAAAUGAAAUACAAGACAGAAAUUUUCAAAAAUAGUCUAUGUGCGAGGCUUUUUAAAUGAUGGAAAAGAAUAAAGUGUAAAACAGAGUCUGACACCAAAGCAGGUCAGCACUCAUAACCUCAUAACUGCAGCUGUUUUUUGUACUUUUACUUGAACAGUUGAAGGUGUUAUGUGUAGCUGUUAAUGAUGAAUAAUCUCUUUUUGGAGGUGAAAAGGAGAGACAGUCAAGUGGAUCAGCUCUAUGAAUCAUUUGACAUGCAGUUACAGUGAAGAGGGUUGAGGGAUUAAUGGCAGGACCAUUAGGAGGUUUAUCAGAACAAAAACUCUCGACCUCUGCAGCUGAUAGACAUUAAUGAAGUGAAUAAUUUCAAUGGGAUGACUCAUACAGAUUGAAGACUUUAUUUCUGACUUUAACACUUUUGUUCAAGCUCCUCACGCAUUUUAAACUUGUACCUGAGAAAUUUAAGUUGUAGAUUCAUGCUUCAUUAUGUACAUAGAAAACACAGUCAGUCCGUCUUUGUCAGUCUGGUGUAUGAAAAGCGGUUAGUAGUGCUGGCAGGGAGAGAAGAGCAGUUCCAGGAGAUGGUUUAUUGUGUAGCUCUUCUGCACACACACCUGGACCAAACAGUCCAGGAUACUCCUUUUCCUUUUUUUCUGAAUUUAAUCUGUUCUUAUCGAUGUGGCUGGACUCACUGCAGACCUGCAAGGUGACAGGCCCUUAGAGUAAAACUCUGUCCAGAUGGUCCAUCUCACAGUGUGAAAAAUGAAAGCAGAGAUAUGAUUGUUAAACUGGAGUGCAUGGGGAGGGAAACACUCCGAAUCAGACAUAAUAAUACUGAUUGCGAGUGAAAUGUGGAGUCAAUCAGAUAGCUGAAAACAAACUCUAUGCAUCCUGAUUUUAUCAGCAAAACCUGCAUUCAAUAUUCCUCUAUCCCCAAACCAAACAUAACAUUACCGGCGCUAUAUCUCAUUGUUUAUUCGAGUGACAAAUCAAUUUGUGUAUUGUGGAUUCACCAGCUUGAAAUAAAAAGAGGUUUCCAGACCCCCAAAUCAAAUUCAGCUUAAGGCCCCCAUUCGGCUUUGGGCUGCAUUGUUAUCCUCCUCAUUUAUCAAUACAGACACACGUGUGGUAAGAGCUCACCAAAGUACAUGUCCGCACUGAUUUAUAAGCAUCAACACUGCCACCAACAGGUCUGAAAAUAGAAACACUUCUUCUUUUCUGGUUCAAAGUACCUCAGACCUUCAAACCUGCAAAGACUCGCAUAUCAGGGGCUCUCGGGGGGCUGCAUUGUUUUGUGUAAUCCAAGCAAAUAAAGGGCAAAAUGAGGAGAAAAUGAAUAUGUAUUAUCUUGAUAUGUUCACUGAGCGCAGCAGCAGGAAACAGCUGAGAGCAAAAUAAAAGUUGGAUGAGAAAGAAGGAAAUUAGAGACAGAGUGAAGGAUGGGAAUGGCUGCAGAAAUUAGAUAUUAUAAACUGCAAUGUUAUAAACUAAAAGGAAGAUUACAGUGGUAUAUAAUCACUCUGAAGCCCGAGGGAGAAAAGACUGCAUACAGUAGGAACUAUUGCAAACAUCUGAUCAAACUGCAUCAUGGAUGCUGGUGCAUCUCUACUCUCUCUCUCUUUUUCUCUUUCAGCAUGAAGAGUUUGGUGGAAUGAUCUCAAAGAUCAUCAAAAUUUGAAGAUGUUGUUGUCUGGACUUUUCUAAAACUUUUCUUCCUGAUGAAACCAUCUGAAGUGUAAUCAAGACAUUUUAAAAAGCCAGCACAGGGUGAUUUUCUCUGAAGAGAACACCUCUUAUUACUCACAAGGUUAAGAAUAAAUGCCAAUCAGAUCAUAAAACAGCUCUCGACCAAAAUAAAAAAAAGAGUCCCAGCCAAAUAAAAAGGGCAACAGAGAUGAAAUUAAAAAAGAGAUACUAGGUGCUCUAUGGCACUAAAGACAAUAUAAAUUUCAGGCUGUUAUAAUCACUGAAAAUUUCUGCUGCUUUUGAAUGGACUAUCCAGACUUGUUGCUGGGAGAAGAACAAAAUCAUCUCCCAGUGAUAUAAUUUCUUCACAAGACCCAAAACUCAUAAUAUUUUGAAUUGUUCGCAAUUUCCUCUCUAAUGAAAUUCAUCCACAUGAGUGCUGAUAUACAAAGGAGAAUCAAUUCUUUGUUAUGUUGCUCUGGUACAGCGGUCCCUAUGGGGUUUCCCUCCUGAUGUGCCAUUACAGUUUCCAUUAGACUUUUCAAUGAGGGGAUAUUAAAGUUACUCAACUCUAAAUGUGUUUUAAUUUUCAGCUUCCUGCUCAACCCAAAUACCUCAUACUGCAGCUUGUUACUUUAAUCUGAAGGGUCUGCUGGAUAAUUGUGCGGGUGGUUUGGAGUAGACCGAGGGACUGUUGGAUAUAUUGCAUUCAGCGCUGGUUAGAGCCAAAAAAGCAUGUGAUUACUCUGACAGAUUCUCAUUUUGUCUGCAGGUUAGAAUAAAUCACGGGCUGUUCCCCUUUGUACCCGAUGUGUUUGUGAACCUCAUUGUGUCCUAGGAGAGAAUCCCUGAGGGUGGCUCUGCCAAGGCUGGAUUACCAAUCAGACAAUGUGGGCAACUGCUUCAGGGCCUCUGGGUUCGCUGUAUCAUUUGGUUGGUGGUUAUUUGACGAAUUUCAAUUCUGUUUGGAGACGUGGACUACAAAAUAAAACUUAUUAAACCCCGACUUAAAGGGUUGCAUCACUGUCUUCUUGCAAGUUUUAGCCUUUUUGCAGAAGCUCAGUGGAUCCAUGUCUACUUUGAAGAUCUGUGCUAGUUUUGUUUUUACCUGAUAAAACAUUUCUGAGAGAAAGGCCUGUAUUUCUGCAAGAUAAGAGCAUUGUUUUGUUUCUGGGGAUUGGAAAGAAUAUAAUGAAACUGCCACUUGAAGUCUUCUGUGUGAGCUGGGUUUAAUGAAAACAGUGUGUAUACACAAAGCACAAGGGGCAGGAAGCAUCUGGGUCAAUAACAGGCAGAGGAAAGACAUACAUUGUUUCAUGAUAUACAGCCUUGGUCUCUCGGUUAACGUGUUCUCUAUGUAGGCUACGACUACUUAAAGCAGCAGGCAAGUCAAGAAUUGAUUCAUAAUCUCUUCAGGUUUGUCAUCAAAGUGCAAAGACGAUCCUGAUGUUGUCCUCAGUCCUCAUCUGGAUUCUGUUGGCGGUAGACUUGUUCUCUCCGAUCAGGCUUAAGCAGGAGCACAAUCCUUAGAUCCUUCUGGUACCACUAAACAAGUACUACAUACGUGUACAUUAAACUGUGAAGGAAGAUAUUUAUAGGUGUCUUCCCUCCAUUCCCACUGUAUUAGAUUCCCUAGUUGCUUUUUAAUUGAACGUGUACAUUGAUCACAGACAAAGCAGUCUUGGCUCUGAUGUUCUGCAUCAUUUAUCAAGCAUAUUCUGGCCCACACCACAAGACCAGAAAAAUUGGCCAUCACCACCAUAGAGCAGCUGUAAAAGAGAUGUUAUUCUGUCUCACAGAAAAUGGGAGGCAAAGUGCGGUUAGAUCCACUUUUAUUAUUUUUAUUAGUAGUAGUAUUAUUCUCCCACACUCCAGUGUGUCCCAGCUUCAAGCAGUUUGUUAUAGCAAGUCCAUAUUCUGUAUCGCACUGUCUAGACAUAUAAUGUUUCAACCAAAAAUACUCUGCCGUUGUCCAGUUUGACUUUAAAGCUUGCUGCCAUCUCCUGUAAUUGGAGAACAACCGUCCGUCUCUGCAUAUUUAGUUUGAAAGACUGGGCAUGUGCAGAAAGAGCACAGCCUUACGACGAUCAGAAACUCUAUUUACCCCGAGCGUUUUUUAUUUUGAUCAGUUUAUGAAAAGGUUAAACUACCUUUCAUUUAGUUUGGGCCUGUUUAUUCCAAAUGAGCUGUUUAUAUUGAGCAUUUUUAUUCCAUUCAGGCUUUAAAGCUGUUCAGAACUGUAUUUACUAUGGACAACUUGGUUUUGCCUUCCGCCAGUAUACAGAUUUAAAGCGGAUAAACUCUCAGUAAUUCCGUGUUGUUUCUCCACUUCCUGAAACCAACAUUGUACAGUAGCGUUGUAGGCGUUCGGCAGGAGAGUCGCAGAGACUCGCUGUGAUGACGCUCGGUUCAAACAACGUAUCCCCCAGGUGAGCUACGCAAUCUUUGUACGCCCAUAGGCUGUAUCAGGUGUCGUAGAAAUCAUAGAAAACAUGAACUCCUAAUAACUUUUAAAAACGGAGCUGCACAGAAAAUAGAGGACUUGAGCACAAACCAGUCUUACAGUAACUACAUGUCAACAUCCCAAACCAGGGGGAGAAAAAUGUAUAUUCUGUGUAAUUAAUUUUCAAAGUUUGUCCACAACUCCAUAGGGAUUGCUGGAGGAGGUGGGAUUAAUGGCCUAUACUGCAGCCACUAGAGGGUGCUGUUCUCGGGUGGCUUCACCCAGUGAGGAGGCAGAUGAUGUCCAUUCUAUAUACAGUCGAUGUUUCAUAAUCAGAAUAUCAUACUUCAUGUCAGGGAAGCUGUUGUCUUUGCAAUGGUCCUCAUGUUCAAAGAGACUCCAGUAUCACCCAUCAGAGUACAGUUGGACCUCAGAAAGGACAUCCAUAGGACCUGUUUAUCACCUGGCUAUGUUAGAUACUCGAUCCAGUCAUUGUUCCUUGGCCUCACUAUUCAGCUAUAGGGAUGCAAAUGACCUUUUGAUCAUAUAUGGAAUCAAAUUAAGCAAAAAUUCUUCUCUGCAUGUUGACACUGCCGAAAAACAAUAGACGAAAUUCAAUUAUUUCAGUCUUGUCUCCCAACAUGUGCAGUACACAGAGGGCGGCUGGUGAUAGUAUUUCUUUAUUUGUUACAUGACAACAAAAACUGAGCUUAAAGAACAGCUUAAAGAUUGUUUUUACUGUGUCGAGUCAAGUUUUUGUCCUGGACCCUGUUUUUUAAUUAUUUGUCAAGCUAAAUGCUCUUUAUCUGAUGAGUUCCCAGUGAGGUAAUAUGCCGGCAGCUCUAAAGGUGAAAAUAAAGUUUGUUGAAAUUUUGCUUUUGAACAUUUCGGGAAGUGAGUUUACUGAAAGACAGACAACCUGAUAAAAAAGAGCUUUGAACCUGCAAAAUUAAACUUCAAACAUUUUCUCCCAGUCUAAGAAAAGCAAUAAAGGGAUAGGAGAGGACUUUUGAUGAGGCAUUUCUGAAUGGCUUCCUCUUAUACGCCGUCUUUAAACUUUGUGAUAACCCUUCAUUUUAAAACCAGGCAUCUAUCCGCUUCCCUCAACACACACUGACACACAGUCUUACUGAGCAAAGUUUUAUAUUCCAGGCAGAGAUCUGGAAAUCAAAUGAGGCUCUGGACAAUCAAAACCUGAUAAGAAUCUGGUUGGAGGUAAACGUGGUUUCAAUCAGUGUCACCAAACAACUACAAUUACAAUGAUUGUAACUAAAUGAAUUUCUGCUCUUCUACAACAAAAGCUGUCUGUGUCAAAGUGCCAUCUAGUGUUCAAACAAGAGUCAGAGGACCUUUGCUUAUCUCUCUUGUUUCACUGUGAGCUUCAGUGUUUCCUGUAAAGAUGUUUAUUCUGGACAGAGACAGACAUACCUAUUUCAGGGUCACUGAUUGUAUCAGCUCUGACUCGCACCUUUGCAUCUCCCCCUCCUGUCUGUGUCUGCUUCCUCCUUCUGUUUUCAGGAGUCGAUCAGGUUCACCUGCUCCGUCUUUGCUGUGUUAGAGUCACUUAUCUGCGCCUCACUUUUAUAACACAAAAAGAGCUUUUAGCUGGAGCGCAAGCCUCAAUCAUUUACAUCCUCAGAAAAGCAGUAUCAGCUCGAAAGAGGAUGCGGUAAAGCCAUCGUGGAUACGCAGCGAAUGAUUAAGCUAUUAAAAAUGAUUCCUUUUGAUUGAUUGGAUUAUCCUCAGUUCUUUUUUGGAGGCUAUAAGCUGUUCGACAGGAGGUGCAUGUUUCAUGGUUGACACAAAAGUGCCUUUUUAAUGAGAUUUUCAGGUCAGAACAGCCUCAGAGGUUUUAUUCCUCGCUCUGUUGAAAUCAUCACCAAGCAUGUUCACAGCACAGAGAGAACAUGUGAAGGUAAGCAUGAAGGCUCACAUCCUCCAUUCUAGAGCAGGGCGAUAAACCGAAAAUUUACAGAUACCGAAAUUUACAACCAUAACCGACAUCAUUUUGCCCAUAUCGGUAUAUUCUAUUUAUGUUGUGUCAAAUACAUAAAUAAAUCAAAGUUGGUUUUGGACAUGUGUAGGUAGGUUAUAGUCUCAUGUCCCUAUGUAAGACGCUGUCCUACGUAGGAGACGUGACUCCACCCGAGCUGAAUUAGAUAAAGUUAAUGUGGGAGGGGGUGAGCAGCUUGUGGAGUAGUUAUCGUCCAUUUAUCGUUGUCAAGGUGAACUGCUCAAUAUAUCAAUAUAUCGUGAUAUUGAUUUGAGGCCAUAUCUCCCAGCCGUACAUCGUCAAGGAAAUGCCAAUUAGGCAUAAAAUUGUGUAUCCAUUAAACGACCCACAGUUUUUUAUUUAGACACGACUCUAAUGAUUGAUUGCAAACACAAUUUACCUCUUUGUAUAUAGAAUAUAAGCCUCGCCAGUCUUUCCAUUGUGCAACAAAAUCAGCAACAACAACAACUUCUUCUCUGUGAAGUUUAAAAAAUAUACUCCUUUUUUUUUUAAAUAAUAAAUUUAUUUUGGCUAGUGCCUUCUGAGCAAACAAUAGUUUCCACAGCUUUCUCCAGCUUUGGCACACAGCUCAGUCAAGGAUAGGUCACAUCUCUCUAUUUCACUAUUUGCAAUCCUCCUCUGGGUUGGUUUUGGCAGCUAUCUAUCAGCAGGGAUUUUAUUUUUUCAAAUUGCUUUGCUGCAUUUAGAUGAAAAUUUCCCCUAAAGUAAUAUUUUUAUUUCCAUGAAAAAACUGAUGAGAUCUGUUCAUGGCAAAACCCAGACAGACAAAAGAACUAUUCCUGGAGAGUGUCCCUUUCCUGUCCCUUUGAGACAAAGUUGAAACUGCCAGGGAAAUAAUUUUCUUUUGUCCCGAGUGAAUGCGCAACACAACACUGUGAGACGCAAUCAUAAGCUAUUUACAGAGCCGGAGCAGUGUCGGCACAUUAUUAGGUGACGUAAGACAGUGGUGACUUGGUUUGAUGAAAGCCCAUUUUCAAAAGAGAGGCUUUCAGUGGGAAUGAGUGAGACUUAAUAGAGUGUCAUUAAAAUUAAAGCAUUUAUAAAUCACAGAUGGUAACAGGAAAUAGCACUCUUUAGUGUUAUGGUGCCAUUAUGAGAGCUGAUCCACUCAACAACGACAAAUAGAUGCAUUUAUUCAGCUUUUGCAUAUUUACACAUUGGUACGAAAAGCACCAGGAGAAACUUUUGGUUUGUUGCUGUUGGAGUUUGACGGUGUUACCGAAAGGCCAAAGAGAGGGAGGGAGAGAAAAGAAAAGUAUCAGAAUUCAUUUUAAUUGCUGUCUCGACAGGCCAGUGUCUGACAGGCAGGUAAACACCCAGACUAUUAAUUCAUCCUCUAGUGCCGCUUUGGAGGUUUAAGACAACAUCACAUUUUGUUGAAGUGUGUUUGUUUACACAGAAGCACCAGGUAUAAUCGACCGUAAAGACACUUGAUUUGGCACCAAAGAUGGGGAAUUGAGAGAUGAAGCUUUCACACCUUAUUUAUUUAUUUUAACAUGGCAUUUAGUUAAAGCUGGAUCCUUUUUCUUUCUUUCUUUUUUUUUGGCCUUUUCAUCUGGCAGCCUCUGAUCCAGAUCAGUCAACAAAGCUGCCAUGGACCAACUCGACUUAAUCUACUACUCUUACUUUUAUCAAUUCAGUCAGACAACCUCACAUUUUGCUGUUUAUGGCAGCAGCAGAACAUCGUCUGUAUAUUUGUACUCUGCGUCUUGGGUCCAACUUCGCAGCUCCUUACAGUUUUACUUUAACAUACAGAAACUGAGGAAUGAUGAGGCAAUAUCUCAAAUCCCCUGUAGGAGCCUGCAGGUGGAUGCUAGGCUGAAAAGAGUAGCAUUCAAACAUAGCAGCUGUGGCAAUAGAAAAGUCAAGGCAGAGACCGGAAAUCUUGCACAUUAAAUAAAGCGCCAAACUGGGAGAGCAUGUGAUAUCAUGUGAUUGUGAGAACGAUGGAUGCCAAGUAUGAAAUGAGCAGCUCAAGUUGCCAGGCCCUAGCAACUCUCUCGCAGGCAUGCUGUUGUGGGUGCCUGUUCAUUAGCCCGUCUGACUGCCUGUUUGUUUGUUCAGUUGUGUCGCCAAUGAAGUUAAACAAAAGAACAACUUCUUUAUGACCUCCAAUUUCAUUGAAGUUGGGACGUUGUGUACAAUGUGAUUAAAACAGAAAACAAUGAUUUGCAAAUCCUUUUUUCACCUGUAUUCAAUUGAACACACUGCAAAGACAAGAUAUUUAACGUUCAAACUGAUAAACUGCCCAGACCAUUACAGAUGCUGGCUUUGAACUUUGACCUGGGGACAGCCUGGAUGGUCCUUUUCCUUUUUAGCCUGGAGGACACCACGUCCAUGAUUUCCAAAAACAAUUGAAAUGUGGUCUCCUCAGACCACAGCUCACUUUUCCACUUUGCUUCAGUCCAUCUGAGCUCUGGUCCCCAGAGGCCGGCAAGAAGAUCUAAAGUCCAAAUCUCCUCCUGCUCUUCAGUCUCCAGUUAGUUUCUCCUACUUUGGACAUGGCUUCAAAGUCAUCUUUAGCAUUUUAAAAGUGAGGGAAAACAUUGUGGUGGCAUUUCCAGUGGUAAGAAGACUUGUCAGAUGACCUUAAAACUCUAGAUUUAGAGUCUCAGUAAUGGACAUCAACUGGUGUAAAAACCCCCAAAGCCAGGCCUUUGCUGUGUGAGUAUAGACAUACAUAACAAAGUCAGUCUAUCAGCAAAAGUCCCUGUUUGUUCAGAGCCAAUUCAUCAAAAAAAAGACACUUUACAAACACUUGACAGGUCUAGACUGUACUCUGUUAUAUUACUGUAUUACAAAUUCUCGAUAUUAAGAUAAUCAUCUCCUUCAGAUGAUUUAAGGCACUCUGAGGGUCAUUAGAGUCUAAAACACAGUUUCAUGUGCUCAUUGAUGAUUAAAGACCUCAAUUUCUUAAUCAAAGUGGCAUGUUUCAGUGACUCUGUAACCCUGAAAUGAUAAAGGUUUUUAACUGACUGACCUGAGAUCUUUUGAUACACUGGAGAGUAUCAGAGGGAUACUCUGUGAUGGCCUUUUCCACCUCUGCAGCACUUUAAACUUCCUUCUUCUGUUUGUUUUGCUUGAUGAUUUAGUUUUAUACCAAAUCACCAUUUUGCGACAUUAAGCAAGUUGCGAGGAAAAAUGUACUUUGACAGGGAGCAAUCUUCAUCCAGGCUCAUGGUUAACAGCCAUCUGCUGUGACGGUGUUGAGUUUACAAAGACAGACAGAGUUGGAUAGAGACAAAGAAACAAUUACAGAUAAAAUAAACUUAUAUUGUAGCUCCAGUGUCAAUGAAAAUGUUGAACUUAAUAUCAGUGGAAAGAGCGAAGUAUAAGAAUUACUGGUCAAUUAAUAUGAAGAGUCAAAAAGAGGAUGAAAUAGGGAGGACUGAAAAUGCUAAUAGAAGCAGUUGUUUUUCAGCAGCUCUGAGAUACCGUAAAUCCUCAAUUAAUGACUGGUAUUUAAUCUGCAGCCGGAAUUCUAAUGAUAACAGAAAUUACAAGCUUGAUGAGUGAUGAAACACCAGCAUUCAAUUAUCAACCGGGACAGAAUUAUACUUCUGCUAUAGAAUAGGGAAAAAUAAGAGACAACUUAACACCUCACAUGACAUCUCUGUGGAGUUUAUUACUUUUUCAGUCUUAUCAUCGUGACUGAGUUAACCGCUGUCAACAUCUUCACAUCCACUCAGAGAUGCGCCCUGAAUGACAGCAUUAUGAUAUAUUUUUACAGUACAUGAUAAACUGAAUGAAUACGAAGAGUCUUUAUUAUUUUAAUAUGGAGUUCAUUCAUGACAGAUGUGACUAAUUUCACCACAUAAUAGCACCAUAACCAGGCUAACCUGACAGAAUCAUCUGAAAGAGACAAUAAAUGAGACACCAUUGUGGAAUUCCAACCAAGCCUCUUCCGUUUUUUUGGACUGAACACACGUGGACCAUCAACCAGAUUUAAAGGUCCCAUGUUUUACUCCUUUCCACCAGAUUUACAUAGGUCUCAGAGGUCACAGAAAGGUCAUUUGGAAGUUUGUUGUCUAAAAACCCAGUUUUUUCCUAGCCUGAAAACUCUCUCAAGUCAGCUCUACCAAGAACACGCUGUUUCUAUGUGCUGCGCUUGUCCACGCCUACUUCAGUGCAAGCCACGCCCCUCCCUGGGCAGAACCAGUGUUUGUCCAUUGUGUUUUUUUAAGGUAGUUGUGACAAAGCUCAGGGAAGUUUAGACCCUGGCACACCUUAAACCUCUGCUUUCAUCUCCUGGCUGCCUACCAGUGACAGUGCUGUGCUGCUUCGUUCUCCAGCAGCACUGAUCUCAUACCAGCUUGCCCAGUGAUGCCAGCCGAUUAUAACGGGGCGUGAAACUGCUCAUUACAUCUCUGUGUGGUUUUUAAAGACUUAUAUCAAAUACUAAAUGAUUUUUAUGCACCAAAAUAUAACGACAGCUGUUGUCAAUGUAGUUAAGUGUGAUGAUGUGAGCACUUUCCAGUUGGUCAUGGCAGAUACUUUGCUAAUAACUCAGUUCUAUGUGAAAAUCUUAGCUGUAAAAAUGAAGUUUUUAAUACCUCUAAUGCCAAGUAUUUGCUCAGUAAUAUUACAAAGAGCGUAGGAGGAGGCUCUGUACUCCCAGGUGUUUUGGGGACAGGAGUUGCGUCACAGUUUCAUUUCAGUUUUUUUGCUUCUUUUCACAGCCUCUGACUUUUAAAAUUGAUCCUGGCUGAGUGAGGAGCCGGUCCCAGGUGCUUUAUAUUCAAUAACUUUAUCCUCACUUGCUCGGAAAGAACCUAAGGUGAGGAGAUGGGGAAGUUGGAGCGUCUCCACACUAGCGUUUGAGAAGUGGAAAGAAUGGUUUGGAAUUUCUGAAGAGCUGGUAGCAGAGCCAUCCAUCUUUCAUAGAGGUGAUGGAUUCAGCCAAAGGGAAAGUGUUGAAAGGUCUGGAGAAAGUCUAUAUAGUGGAUGUUUCAGCCCUGUGUGACAGGCUGCAUUUUCUGCCAUACUGGGCUUCCUGUGCCACAAUCUAAGUCACAAAACAUGAAGUAAACCGAAGUGACUCAGUUUAACCAACAGCAUUAAGUUUGGCUGAGGGACCACAAAGAGUAAAGUUACAGAACAUCACUUCAAAUGAGACCCUUUGUUUAGAUAUGUUCAGGUAGAAUAUGAACUUUUAACUCAACAAUGAAACAUAAUGGGGCAAUAUGUUCUAUGUAUUAGACAGAAGUAUCUAUAAUGAACAUACACUUAAAGAGCCAUGUUUCCAGAGUUUUAUUGCACUUUUACAGAAGUGUGGAUUUGUGGAUGAACAGACAAGUAAAUCUAAUGAUUUUUGUCCUUAUGCUGCUGAAUUGUCUUGCUCUUUUUCAGCAUCACUUGGGCUGAUUUUCUUAUUACGUAAUGCAUUUCUUUUUCAAAAUCUGAUCAUCUGUAUCAUUUGAUUACAAUUCUGUUGUACUCUCUUCACUUACUGUCAUCCACAGUCCCAAUACAACCACACAAAAUACUGGUACAGCUCAUAUUAAAGGAGAUAAGCGCUUCAAGAGUCCUUGAGUCAGGGAGUCAAACAUUACAAGCUUUAGAGCUCUUCUACAACUUUUGUUUCUGGGGUUUUGUGUCAAAAGCAGCUACCCUGCAUGGAUCAAUGAGGGUCAUUUGGAGCGGAGUUAGUCCCAUUAAAAGUGCAGGUAUGAAUGGGAGUCUUAGUCUUAUCAGCGGAGGCGCUAUUAAGAUGAGUGCCGCCUCGAUCCCUCUUCAUGCCUCCGUGCUGCAGGGCUUUAAAUAUCCGCUGGGUUAAUGAGGUGUUCGCUGUGUGUGGGCGCUUACAUUUACUCUCCAAUAAAGUCCUGCCAGGGACAACAUCACUCCCCAUUUCUUAUAAUGGCAUUUUAAUAGAUACUCAUUUACAAACAUCGCUGCAGCAUCAAUGCAAGGGAUGGUGGCAGGUGCGGGGCAAACACAACUGUUUGAGUGGUGGUGGGAGUACAGAUAAAGGUCAGCAACACAAGGGAAAUGAUGACAGUAGGAGGUCACACGGGGAACCCAUUGACAUUUUAAAACAGGAGGAAAAAAAAGACUCAGACAGAGUGUUGUCUGAUAUGAUUAAACCAGAUUCUGCAGCUUCACACCCUUGCUGCAUUCACAUUGAUCAGGAUCAGGAGAAAAGUCACCUUCUAUCUCAGACAUAGAUCUCAAACCUCAGUCUAAUUUUGGGCGUUUCGCAGGCCUUAAAGGCAUAUUCCAGUAUAAAAUUAAGUAGGGGUCAAACACACCUUAACACAGAAUUAGAAACCCCCUAGAGAGAUGAAUGUUGCCAAUUGUGUGCUCAGAACAGCACCUAACUUCAUCAACUGUACAUAUAGGGUCCCGGCCAUAGUACUAGCCAUCAAACAUCUUUUUAGCUUUGCCUGAUUUCUUUAGCAAAGAGACCAAACACAACUCACCCACUCUCCUCCAGCAGCCGCUUGUUUGCGUGGGAGCUCUGACGAGUUGAUCAUCGAGUGCAGCGGAGUUUCGCAGCUCUAGAAAGAACAUUUAUGGUUAUUACUUCAUGGAAAUGCGAUCAGACUGAGAAGCUAAGGCAGAAGAACUACAGCGUAUGCAGUACACAUACAAGAUACACAAGAACUCUGAUUGCAUUUCCAUGAGGAAAUAAUCUCAAAUGUUCUUCCUUUAGCUGCGAAACUCAGAAUAUACCUUGGAAUAUGCCUUUAAAAAGACUAAAGAUUGGCUUCUGAAAGUGUGAAAUCUUGCUACGCAUACAUUUCUAUUUUUCCUGCAUGUGUCAGAUAAAUACAUUCAGGGUGGGUGGAUGAAUACCAAUUGUGACAUACAGACAGGAAAUCAUCAGAAAUCUGCAGUUGUCUCAUUUAUGAUUAGGCAGAAGCUGUAUACAAUAAUUAAGUUACAACCUAAAUGAUUUACCUUGGAAAAAUAGAUGAAUUACUUUCUCUCUGAUUUGAUCUGAGAACAAAGAUAAUAUAAACAUCUUUAUGCUGCUGCGCUUAAUUUCCUCCCCAUCAAUCAAUCCUACUUAGACUUUAGGUACUGUUCUGAAUAUACAGAUUGAAGACACACAAAAAAAUGGUUUUGAAAGGAGACUCAUAAACCACUACAUCCAUUAUACUCCCAGUGUGUCCCUCAAUUUCCACCCACUGAUUGACUGUGCAGAGAACCAGGCUGAAUACUUGAAUUUAUUUCAAUUUGUAUGAAAACGCUCUCAAUGACUACUUGAAGGAAAUAUGAAAAUUGAGAAUAUUUUUCUGUUGAAACUCAAUACAGAGAAAGCAACAAAUCGAAAAUGAAGAACUUGGAAAAGAAUGACAAAUGCAAGUGUUUAGUAUGAGCCAGACACUCUGUUUUGUUGACAGUCCAGUUUGGUCUGCAUUGAGCAGUGGUGCAAUCCAACAAACUCUUGGAAAUGAAAAUCCAGUCUCUUUUCCUCUCUUUAAACUCCCCACAUGCAGGAUUGUUGUUCAUUUUUAUGUGUUUUUUAAUGGCCCUGAGACAUCUUAAAAGACUUAAGGCCAGAGCGUCAGUUCCUGCUUCAUGUUUACAAAAUUUGGAUAUUGUCAGUUAUAACGCGUCCAGGUUAGAGCCAGAUGAGUCUGGUUUCCUUCACCAACACUUUGUCACUGUACGUCACUAAAAAAUAUUAGAUGUUUUUUGAUUCAAACAACUGUUUUGUUCUAGGUGAGAAAAUCAGUUUUGCAGCCUGCAGAUAAAAGAAAAAAUCAAACACAGUAAACAAAGUAAACAACAUCAUUCAGACAUGUGAGUGUCAACAGUUUUGGUCAGAGAAGUUCAGGGGGUGAAGUAUUUUGCAAUGUAUUCAUUUUGAUGAUAUUAAGAUCAGGGAAUUUGUAAAUCAGAAGCAUGGCUGACUUGAAAGGCAGGCACACUGUGGUGCUUUGCAAAGCGAGUAAAGGCCCGUCUCUGAUAGGAUAACAAAAGUUCUGUUGAGUCAGUAUUCCCAUUAUGUCCUCUGCCGACAAAAGGCUUCAGAAAUCUACUGAAAUGAGUGACGUCUCCGAGAAUCAGCCAUGUAUUACGUAGUCCAUGGAACAGGAUUGUAUGUCAGUUACUGCUAUUUACAUACAGCAGCCUGAUGGCAGAAAGAACAGGAAUUAUCAUUUAUCUUUCUUCGGGGGGCAAGAUGUAACUGUGGGGAUGAAUUAAAAGAAAGAAAAUGAUAAUUCCUUAAGCUGUCUGGACCACCUGAUUUUUUCAGGUCAAGUAUAGCUGAAUUAUAAAUGUUUUGAAGCAGAUAUGAAUGAUGUUGAGACCACAGAAAGCACUUCUACAAUAUAUAUAUGAUUAGUUAAGCUGUUUUUAUUACAUCCCGUCAUGUUUCGUAUUCGUAUCUCGUGAUUCCUGUUUUAUGUUGAUACACACCCCUAUCUUUUAUGUCUGGUUUAUAGACCUUAAUGAUGAAUAUGCAAUAUUCAUGCAAGCCAAUACACAAAGUCCCCAUCGGUUCUAUCAAAUCCUGUUCAAACAGCUUGGGACUCAGCAUUUCAACCAAGACCAUUGUGACAUGUAAACUGAGGAAGCUCCCAUUAGAACUACCAACCAUCCAGAUGAGAGAGGGCUGACUGUAGGGCUGACUGUACCACUGAGGCACAGCUGCUCUGGAGUUUGUCCAAGCACAACAUCAAUUAAAGCUGAGUUUUUUGGUUGUUGUUUUUCCAGAUAAAACAAAGUAAAAAAAUCACAGAGCCCUGCUUUUUAUUCUCCAUAUUAACUUCUCUUAGUUUCGUUCUGAUUAGUGGAUCUUAUCACCCCGUACUCUUGAGAUAAGAGUGUCCAUUAAGAAUUGUAGACAGAAUUCCCCAGAGCUGACCAGUGAAAACAAUUAAUCUCACAGGCAUUUUUUUUUUGUCGCAGCUGGUUCUAACUAUGGGGGUCAUUCACAGGUCAGGAUCUGCUCAGCCCCUCCAAUACCUCAUCUAUGGAGCUCAAACUGUCUCUGUUCAGAAGAGUUUUCAGUGGAGUUUUUAGGCCUGUACAUGAUUUCUUACACACAGUGAUAAAUGGAUGAACUCUUGAGCUUGGGUUGUCAAAUCUAACAAGUUUAUACACGCAACUCUUCUCCAGACUUUGACGUUUGAGUUUUAAACAUAAAUGGGUUAUGUGACUCACUUCCUUUAUUUGCAAAGCUGCAGCCGAUAAACCAGUGCAACCAAUACACAGGUAGAAAAUAUCCCUGAGGUGGGGAUCAGCUCCUGGUGCUCGUUCACUGAGAGAAAAUACACUGUUGACUAAAAUUUCUAACAUGGCAGAAAUUCAUCAAACUGGUUGAGAGGAGCCGAUCAGGUUGUUACUCAACUCAAAAAUUUGCUUGACCAUACACUGUUCAAUAUUUACUGCUUUUUACUAUAUGACUAUACACUGAAGAUGGCCCAUCUUUAUAGAAAACAAGCUGCAUCUCUGCCAAGAAGUCAGGAAAGUUUGGUGGAGUUUGCAGUUAUUUGUGUUUCCAUUGUCAAAAGUUGGGAAAAGUAAGUUAGUAUUUGAUCUGUACUGCCUUUCUUUGUAGCACCCAUCUGUUGGAGUCCCAGGCCUUCAAAUCUGACCCUAAACUGCAGCGAUUGUGCUUCUGUCAAACUCUCCAAUCCCGAUUUCAUUUGGUGAGUAAACUUCUGAGCCGCAUUGGAUUAAAACUCUUCAGUCUUUUGUACAUUUUUAUUCAUCAGAAAAUGCCUUUGUGUGUUAUACAGCAGUUUGGAUUUCAAACAGGUUCUUAAUUCAGUCAGAGACACCAGCUGGAGAGAGGCACAGUGAUGGAUACAAAGGGAAAGAUAAAAAAGAGAAAUAUUUCCCAUAUUCUGAAGCAAUUUAAUAAUUAAUAUAAUUUACCUGCAGCCAAUUUGACAAAUGACAACUUUUUUUUAACCACAUGCUUAAGAACUUUGCAAGAUACUUCUUUCACCAACUUCAGAAUAAAAUCACAACAGUCGUACGACGCCACAGUAAAAAUUGUUGAGGACCAAUAUAGGUCAGGGAUUUCGUUUUUUUUUUUUUUUUUUUACAUAGAAUCUUUGUAUCUAAUCUGUAACAUAUGACCUUAAUGCAGGUGCCUCUCUAAAAGUUUCAACAAUAUGUCAUAAUCAGUCUCUCGUGCCUCUAAGGAUCUGAAGGUAAUAGAUCCUCAACGGGAAGUCUUUUCAGUUUCAAAAAACCCUUGGGUAAACUUAAAGGGGUAAAGCCGACGGCAUGAGCUCCACUGAGUUAUAUCUAUUAUGUUGAAAGCAUGUGUGACCUUUCUCCCAUCAGAGUUUGACUUUUCCCGUCAUGGGCAUGAAUGUUCGAAAUAAAAUAAAUCAUGGCUGCGCUCUGCUCUGUGCUCCAGUUCCAGGUCUCUUGUGUAUGAACACAUGCAAAGAGCUGUCAUCGCAAAACUGAUGAAUACAUAUCCUUAAAUUCUUAAUCUAGUUUCAUUAUUGAAUUAUUAGUGUGGAUAAAAUCUUUAACAUGGCAGCUUCUCCAGUUUCAGGCAGAGUUUUCGGUUUUGGAAAAGAGAAAACCAUCAGUAGCCGCUUUUAAAUCCUCAAAUAAAUAAUGUAGAAAAAUUCAGCACAGUGUUGGACCAUACACCACCAUGAAUAAUAUAUAACAUGUAUAAUGUAUUCUAUGUUAAAUAUCUUUCUAUGUAGGGGUUGUUUUUCUGUGUCAUAUAAAGAUGUGGGGCACAAACAUGCAGUGUGAAGCGAGAAACUAGGUAUUCAUAAAUAUGUAUAAGUGAGCAUGGUUUAUUUGUUGCAGUAUCCUGCAGAGUUUUGACAUGAGCACAAAAGGGGUCAGAGCUGCUUCUGCAGUAUCAAAACAACAUGUAAAUUUUACACUGACAGGUGACUCUGAAGUUUUUAUAAGAAGUAGUACAGCUGGUGUUUUCAGCUCCAAAAAUACUGAAAUGUUACUGGAGAUCAGCUGUGCAGUCUGCUUUCUGUAAUAGCAGUCAUAAGCCAGCCUUUGUAAUGGUUUUUCUCUGAACACUAUUUCUCAGAUUUUCCCCUCUGGUUGUUUGUCAAAGCCUUGAAAAAUAACAAUCUCUGGAGUUUUGAACUCAAAGUUUUUACUUUUUCUCUACAACUGAGUGAAUUUUUAAAAAUAUCUUUAUCAUUCAAUUUUAAUUUUGCCAUAACUGCUUCAGCUAGAUUGUUUCUGGUAUUUCACUCAGUGUUAGUUUUGCAGGAUUUCCAGUUAUCAGUCAUCAAUUAAUGUUACUGAGACAUGCUUGAUCCUGAAGGGACCUGGCUUAAGCACUUUUGCACCGUCUUGUGUACAACCAGAGUGGAUUGCAAUUAAAAUAGUUUAUUCUGCUAAUUUCCAAAUUGCCACAAAUAAAAUAAUGUCAAUAAAAUGAAAGCAAACAAACAAACAUAAAACUCUUUUAGCUCUUGUCCAGCAGUCAAAACCUUUGUCUCCUCUGGGAUCACACACCUUAAACUUCACACAAUGUAUGUUUGAGCUGUAGAUGUACAGCGACACCCAGAGUCGACACAGAAACACUGCAGUGAAAUGAAUCAAAUACAAACCCUUGUUUUACAUAGUAAAAAUGUUAUAAUGCUAAAUACCUCUAAAUAUUCAUUUGCUGUCUGUCAGAAGAAAAACAUGGCUUACAUCUCGGCCUGCCAAAUGAUUGACUGUAUAAAGUGUGAUUAAUUGCAGAAAUGUGAUUGAUUGCAUCUGUAAUU
Non-coding RNA from Xyrichtys novacula (pearly razorfish), 22519 nucleotides. The record is from the annotation of a GenBank genome assembly. NCBI's taxonomy places the organism in Eukaryota, Metazoa, Chordata, Actinopteri, Labriformes, Labridae.